Pseudopipra pipra is the source of this 5784-nucleotide long non-coding RNA. RefSeq lists it as uncharacterized. The record is from RefSeq and is a predicted model, not a curated record. Lineage: Eukaryota; Metazoa; Chordata; Aves; Passeriformes; Pipridae. The transcript is spliced from 3 exons.
UAAGAUUCUGCUUGGAAAAAUGUAGCUAAUUGACAUGGGAAAAUUAAUGUACAUGGUGUUUUACAUGAACAUAAGUGUGCAGGCAUGGCCAAAGUACCUGAAGACAGAGUUUGAGGGUAUCAGACAUUUGUGAUUUGAGUCACCAGUACAUGGAAUAAGCCACUUCCAGCAGCUUCCCAGCUUCAAUCCCUCUGUGAUCAGAUGCCCUCAGCCUCCAAUAGCAUUACUCUAGUAUUUUCUGGAAGCUGUGCCUGUGUAAGUGUCCCCUGUUACACAGACAGAAAGGAAGGCUAAAAAAGAAAGCAGAGGUGGGAGAACCUUGGCUGCUGGACUGGCCAUGGAGACCCACCCAAGGCAGUGACCUGGAGGAGCACGUCUUGGUGACACCACAGGGGUUUUGAGGGUGGUCUUCUACCUCUAAUCCCUUUCCCUCUCCCUGGUAAAGAUCAAAGACGUGACAUGAAAGGGAAUGGUUGAGAGGAUGAGCAGGAGAGAGGGAGGGGGAGAACGCCCAGAGUGCUGCAGGAGGUGAGGUUUCCCAGGGAGAGAAAUCAAGAGAUUUCAUCAGCCUGUGCUGGGAGUAAUCUGGCUGUUCUGGGAUGCCAUCCGGGCGUGCUGGGGCGGUUUAGGAAGCCAUCUAGCUGUAAUUCCCUGCCAGUUGUCUGACUUCCCUUAAAAGGAUCCAUCCAGCAUUGUUCAAGGAUUGAUCCUCCACUGGCACAACUCCCAGGUGUCGUUUCCCAGGCAAGAGAGGAGUCGGGGAUGCAUCUUUAUGCAAACCCCACCGAGACAGGCUGGUGGAGGUGCUCGAGGAAGCAGCACAAACUCCAAGACCAUCCGAGCCUCUCUGGGAUCAUCUGCCGCGUCAUUCCCUGCCCCGCCAGCGCACGGCACUGCCUGCACAAGUGGAGUUUCUCCAGGGGCUGUGGAUCAGGAUUCAGCCUCACCUGGCAGCUGGGAGAGCUCGGAGCUGGACUGUGGCACCAAACACUUCCAGAGCGGCCGGGAGCCGGAGCCACCGGGCAGGGGAGCGCUUGGGAUCAGGGGCUGGACCUCGGGAGAGCAGCGGGAGCCACUGGGAUGGCCGUGGGGAAGGGGGUCCCUACCUGAGUCCUGUUCAGUUGGCACUUUGUGCGGACAACGAAAAUCAAAACGAUGACGACCACAGUGCUGACCACGGUGAGGAGGAUCCACACGUCGUAGUCUGGCUGUUGGAUAAAACAGGAGAGAAAUUACUCUUGUGUGGCAGACUUGGGAAUAAGAGGCUUGGCAGGGGUCUCCCAAUCUCUUCUGGCCCAUCAGCCUUUGAACACAGGGCCAAGUUCUACCUCUGUGCUCUUUACAGGAAAAGGAAAAAAGGGUUCGGCCUUUUUUUUGGACAUCCCACCAAGAAUGGAAAAUCUCUGUCUUGCAGCAUCUCAGCUCCCCCAGUGCCACAGUCUAAGGCAGCAUAAGAUGAGAAAACCAAGGCUUGGUCUCCCCUGAAGAGACAGAGAACCUCACCUCACCUCACUCGUGGCGUUGGAGCAAAAGACACUAAAUAAGCUGAAAGUGCUUUUGAGCCUUUAUUUGCAGCAGGUCAUCUGAAUGCUACAGACAGCUCCUGCCAAGGGCUCUGAUCUCUGUCCCUUGGGAGCAAAGCUCUGGGAAAGCCCUGUGCUGUGGCUUGGGAGGGAGGAUGUGGGAGGCAGUGGGAAUGGUGUGUGCCUCACCCAGGCUGGUGGCUCCUUGACCUCUAUCUUCACAUGGGCCUCUCUGUUCUUGUUCACGACGCUCAUGAGCUGCUCGGCAUCGUGGCCCCUGAUCAGAACCACAGGCUGGCUCAGGCCUCUGGGCUUCCUCAGCUGCAAAGGAACAAACACAGUGAGAGCUGGUCCAGAACAGCCUGGAAAAGGACAAUCCUGGUCCCCCAGGCACGUCUGGUCCUCCUAAUGCUUCUUGCACACACUUCAGAGACUGACUGCUCCCCCAGAUCUGUACUGUCUCUCUAGGAUGAAUAUGAAUCAGAUUGAAGCUCCUCCUCUUGUACCAACUCUCCAGCAUUGGGAAAAUACUCAAUUUUCCCUGCUGGUGAGUCCUCAUGCCCAGCUGGACACUGCUUGGUGUCUCUUGAGCUCCUCUUCAAGCCCCUGUGCGAAAGUUCUUUGUGUCUCCUCUUCCCUGUGGGAACUGCCAACAGCACUGCCUAGUGCUGCCUUCCCACAGAAAUGCUUCCUCUGCUCUUCCUGUGAGACCCAUCCAGUUCCCCUCCUCCCUGAGGACAUUCUGGUUGUUCCUGGUCAUACUGGCACGGGCUGGCUCAGCAAGUGUCCAAGCCUGCUCCCCUCCAGACUGACCUGGACUGGACCAGGGUGGCCAUCGGACCCACUGAUCACUUCCCAUGCCCUGGGGGGUGCUGGGGGCACCCAGAGGUGGGUGCCUGGGUCUGGGGACAGGGAUGUGAGUGGAGGUGCAGAUGGUCGUGAAGACCACGGAGGCUGCAGGGUCUGAGUUGUUGAGAGUUGCCACUCUUGGCUUUGGUACUGCAGAUGGGGAAGCUGGGAAAGUGGGAUCAGAGGCUCAGAGGGAUCAGACUGGGAUCUGAGCAACCCUGGAGUCACCUCAUGGACCUGCACUCGCUGCUGCCUUUCUCUGGCAUCAGAAAUUAAUCUGUAAGUGCAUAAAAGAGCCAGGAGGGAUGGAUCCAGCAAGGAGUCAGCCCAGAGUUUGGAUAAGCUCAGGCACCAGCUCCCCUGUCUGUCCUCAGUCGAAUGCUGGAUGCUUUUCAUUAUCCCUGGAACAUUUGGAUAGGGAACUGAUUCCAUUCCAGAGAUGACAGCAAUGCUGGGGGAAGAGACCUUUGAAGGUCUCUAAACCUGCACCAAGAGUGUUGCAGGGAGGGCUGUGACUUGGGCUUGAAAACUUGAGAAGUCACCUUUCCCUAGAGGUAAACUGAGCUGUCUGGAGUAGAUGAAAUUAGGAAAUCCAUGACUUCCCAAGAGGAAGCAUCCAGCUCCUGGCAGAAAAGCUCAACUGACCAGAUAAUGUCCUCUGAGAGUGUAGGUGUGCCCUGGAGUGAAGGAAAGAGGAACCAACUCUUCAUGGGUGAGUGGGGUGAGAGCCAACAUCCAACACCAGCUGGGACCUGGGACUUUCUGCUGGUGGCUGGUGGGUCCUGAUGGACACGUUUUGGGAUGGGACAGGAGCACUGUGGUUUAGCUGAGAGUAUUAAUGGGGUCUGUACCUGAUCAGCAGCACUUUCAUCGUCAGUAAUGUCGAAAAGGAUGGCACGGGCUCCACGCUCCCCCGCCAGCUUCGCCUGUCCAAAACAACAGAAGCUUCAGCGGACACUGCACUGUCCCCUGUGUCAACACCCACCAUUUGGAUCCAGGUCUGCCUCCCAGGUUCUUUGCAGGGAAAGAAGCACCUGCUUAGACUGAGGAAACCAUUUACACUUUGAUUCCUGUGCUUGUGUUGGGCUGCAGUGCCCACUCCUGCCAGAGCUCUGGGGCUCCUUCUCCCUAUGGCUGUGGAGAUGAAUUAGUUGGUGGCCUUGCAAUCACAGCAGGACACAAACCUAAACAUUCCCCAGCUGCCUGUGCCAUGUGCCCCUUUGCUUCAGAGCUGGAUUUGCUGGGGAGGGAUCUGCUGACCUACACAACCCUCCCAGGAGAGCAGAAUCCUCCACGUCCCACCUCUCACUGUGGGGCAUCUUCAGUGCCCUCCUUUGGAUGGCCCUGGGCUGUCUGAGGGCCUGACUGCCACACACGCUGCUCUCCCUGGUCCCUGUCCCUGCACUCCUCAGGGAGCAGCUCAGGCAGUGCCCGGACUGCAGAUCUGCUCUCGGAUGAGGAGCGGGAUGGCUUUCCACAGCUCAGCUUAAAGACCCACCCAUCUGAGCUCACAUGCCACCCUGGUGAGGUAAAGCUCACUGCCUGGGGACCUCGUGGGGUCACCCACCUCCUCCCAGCCGGCCCUGGGAGCCCUCUGGGCAGGCAGAGGCAGCCUGAGGAGAUGGAACGUGAACAGAACGCAGGGCUGGGCUGCUCUUACUCAGGCGGAGCCCUUUGAUCCUGCGUCCCGAGCCUGUGCAAACAGGGAGCAGUUCACCCUCUGCAGGGCCAAACCCCAGCUCGGGGGCCAGAGGUCAGAGCUGCCGCUUCCCAGCUGCAAUAUCAAACACAGGGAGCUGGCUGGGCCCAGGGAUGGGGCAUUCCUGGCAUGGAGAGCGGCAGCUGAGCGGGAUCUGCUCCAUCCCUCACACAGUCACAGAGUCACAGAAUGUGCUGAGCUGGGAGGGACCCCCAAGGAUCACGGAGUCCAACCCUCAGCCCUGCACAGGCCCAGCCCCAAGAGUCACCCCCUGUGCCCCAGAGGAUCAGCCAAACCCUCCCUGAGCUCUGGCAGCCUUGGGGCUGUGCCCACUGCCCUGGGGAGCCUGGGCAGUGCCCAACCAGCCUCUGGGGGAAGAACCUUUGCCUGAGAUCCAACCUGAGCCUGCCCUGACACAGCUCCAGCCAUUCCCUGGCUGCUGUCCCUGGUCCCCCCAGAGCAGAGCUCAGUCCCUGCCCCUCCUCUGCCCCUGCCCAGGAAGGUGGAACUGCAGUGAGGUCUCCCCUCAGUCUCCUCAAGUGCCCUCAGUGCCCUCACACGGCUUCAAAUCAAGGCCCUUCCCCAUCUUCAUUGCCCUCCUUUGGACACUCUCUAAUGGCUUCAUAACUUUCUGUGUCCCCCCAAACUGCCCCAGUUUUGCAGGUGAGGCCACCCCAGGGCAGAGCAGAGCAGGACAAUCAUGCUCACAAGUGCUGGUCACCUCCACACCCCUCGUGGGGGAGAAGCUGGGGGCACCCAGAGGGUGUGUCUGGGUCUGGACACAGGACAGGGACGUGAGGGGAGGUGAAGAUGGUCAGGAAGGUCACAGGGGUUGAAGGCUCUGAGCUGCUGACAGGAUUUGACACUCGUGGGUUUGCUGUACCAGAUGGGGAAGCUGGAAAAGUGGGAUCAAGGCUCAACUCGGAGCAGGGAUCAGAGACUGGGGUCCUGCCUGGGAUCAAACAAUCCUCAUUGUCUGCCAGCACUGAGGAGGACUUUCAGGGAUUGACUUCCACCUGUUGGAGCCAGUCAGGCUUUGAUGAACAAACAGCUCUACACAGAUUUUAUCCUGCUAAAGACACCAACAACGGGGCAACGAACAACUGAGACUGGACAAGUGACUCUUCCCAACACCUUUCUGACUCCUGUUGCAAAGGACACAACUUCUGGUGACCAGUGACAGGACUCAGGGAAGGGCUGCAGCUGUGGAGGGUCAGGUUGGAUCUCAGCCAAAGGUUCUUCCCCCAGAGGCUGGUUGGGCACUGCCCAGGCUCCCCAGGGCAGUGGGCACAGCCCCAAGGCUGCCAGAGCUCAGGGAGGGUUUGGAUGAUACUCUCAGGGACAGGGUAGGAUUGUUGAGGUGUCUGUGCAGGGCCAGGAGUUGGAGUGGAUGAUGCUUGUGGGUCCUUUCCAACUCAGGAUAUUCCAUGAUUCUCUAUGAUUCUGUUCCAGCCAUUCACAACCUGCUUGCUGCAAUCAUUUCCUGAGUGUUUGCUGUCCCUGUGCUGGAUCCCUUCAGCCACAAGGCACUGCCAACCUCCUCUUUGAGGACCAAAACAUUUUUGGUGCAAAUAUAUAUUUACAGGAUGAUUUCAGAGCUUUCAGCAAGAGCUGACAGCAUUCUGUCAACCAGACGUGCAAUCAACGGUCCACUCAGAAAACAAACAAAAUUAUAAAUGAAAAAUGAAAGAAAAAUAAAUCCCUUUGAUCCUG